UAUGAGAGUUUUAGGCAUACUUUAGUGGCACUUGAAUUAGAUAGUCUAAGGAUUGAAGUGAUUAUUUGAGUGUUUAUACUAGAUGGUUUACCACAGGAAAUCUUUGUACCACUGAAAGAGGAGUCAUAUAUUGAAAAGCAGUGAAUACAGAUUCUGGGUCCAGAAGCCCUGCCUCCACGGAUUUUGUGGAGGACAGGAUGAGGGAUGUGGGUCAGGAUGGGCUCUGCCGAGCUGCUUUCUGCAUCUGGGGGUGCAUCUUUGUCUUGUCCAAGUUGUAAGUUUCCUGGGCAUUGCCCUCGUCCUUCUGUGUUGGAAUCUCCAUUUCAUAGAGCACUCCUUUCAGCUUUGUCCCAGAUGACAGGUGGCCUCUGAGCUUCUACAGCCCCAUAUUGAAUUCCUUUGCUUGUGGCCUUCUACCUGCACCAUCUUCCAGCGCCAACUUUGUCUAUAGGGCUUUGCCAACAGUUGUAAGAGAAACUUAUUUUUAAAAUAUAUAAAACCCUGCUCUUUUAUAUUUUACCACUAAUCUCUUUUCCUAGUUUUGUAUUUUCUACAAAAUUCUUAUUGUUUCCCAUGAUCUGUCAACAACAGGCAACUCAUACCUGAUCCCAAUGACAGUCGGUGCUACAUUGGAUCUGUUUUUUUUCUAGUUUUUUUUUUAAAUUAUUAUUUCAUUGAGAUUUGGAGAAUAAGAAGAAGUAAACACUUUUAUUCAAGCCUCCAGUGCUGACUCUCCCCAGAUGCCUUUGGAACUGCUCCAGAUGUUUAUGCUUUCCUUUCAGGUUAUCAUGCUGCUUUAUCCAGAAGAAUCAAACAAGAAAUGAAGGGCCAUCGUGAUCUUCAAAAAGUCUUCUUCUCAGCAAACUGCUGGAAAUACCUGAAGUCGAGCAUUCAUAAGCAUGAACUCCUUUUGAUUUUUC
This 920-nucleotide long non-coding RNA is filed under the name Homo sapiens (human). RNAcentral describes it as "HSALNT0146293". The record is from RNAcentral. Lineage: Eukaryota; Metazoa; Chordata; Mammalia; Primates; Hominidae.